AAGGAGCACCACGAGAAACACUCCAAUUGGUGGGGUGUGAGCCGUGAGGGGUUCUCGUCUGUAGUGGACGAGGGCCGGGUGCACAACAACAGGCAAUCGCCAGACACACUAUUGGGCCCUGAGACAACACUCGGCCGACUUCGGUUGAAGUGGUGUCCCUCCAUCUUGGUGGUGGGGUGUGGUGUUUGAGUAUUGGAUAGUGGUUGCGAGCAUCUAAAUGAACGCGUCGCCGGUAACGGUUACGAGUUCGUUUAGAGUAAUUUUUUCUUUUGGUUUUAGAGU
Molecule: unclassified non-coding RNA, 282 nt
Filed under: Mycobacterium simiae
Lineage: Bacteria; Bacillati; Actinomycetota; Actinomycetes; Mycobacteriales; Mycobacteriaceae
Source: RNAcentral